AAAUACUGAUCCUAUUAGCCCCACCCAUCAAAUACUGAACCUAGUAGCCCCGCCCACCAAAUACUGAGCCUAUUAGCCUCAACCACCAAAUACUGAGCCUUUUAUUCCCACCCACCAAAUACGGAGCCUAUUAGCCCCACCCACCAAAUACUGAGCCUAUUAGCCCCACCCACCAAAUACUGAGCCUAUUAGCACCGCCCAUCACAUAUUGAGCCUAG
Long non-coding RNA from Sphaeramia orbicularis (orbiculate cardinalfish), 218 nucleotides. RefSeq lists it as uncharacterized. The transcript has 2 exons. NCBI's taxonomy places the organism in Eukaryota, Metazoa, Chordata, Actinopteri, Kurtiformes, Apogonidae. The record is from RefSeq and is a predicted model, not a curated record.